AAAUUGAAGAGUUUGAUCAUGGCUCAGAUUGAACGCUGGCGGCAGGCCUAACACAUGCAAGUCGAACGGUAACAGGAAACAGCUUGCUGUUUCGCUGACGAGUGGCGGACGGGUGAGUAAUGUCUGGGAAACUGCCUGAUGGAGGGGGAUAACUACUGGAAACGGUAGCUAAUACCGCAUAACGUCGCAAGACCAAAGAGGGGGACCUUCGGGCCUCUUGCCAUCGGAUGUGCCCAGAUGGGAUUAGCUAGUAGGUGGGGUAACGGCUCACCUAGGCGACGAUCCCUAGCUGGUCUGAGAGGAUAACCAGCCACACUGGAACUGAGACACGGUCCAGACUCCUACGGGAGGCAGCAGUGGGGAAUAUUGCACAAUGGGCGCAAGCCUGAUGCAGCCAUGCCGCGUGUAUGAAGAAGGCCUUCGGGUUGUAAA
Molecule: ribosomal RNA, 432 nt
Filed under: Escherichia coli
Lineage: Bacteria; Pseudomonadati; Pseudomonadota; Gammaproteobacteria; Enterobacterales; Enterobacteriaceae
Description: bacterial SSU rRNA
Rfam family: Bacterial small subunit ribosomal RNA
Source: RNAcentral